This 67-nucleotide small RNA is filed under the name Pontibacillus chungwhensis BH030062. RNAcentral describes it as "Bacillaceae-1 RNA". It matches the Rfam family "Bacillaceae-1 RNA". Lineage: Bacteria; Bacillati; Bacillota; Bacilli; Caryophanales; Bacillaceae. The record is from Rfam by way of RNAcentral.
AGAAGAGUCAGACCGACUAAAACCGUCACAUCCUGCGACAACGUCGAACGCCCCCACAUCGUGUGGG